RNAcentral lists this ribosomal RNA (717 nucleotides) under Staphylococcus epidermidis. RNAcentral describes it as "bacterial SSU rRNA". It matches the Rfam family "Bacterial small subunit ribosomal RNA", at positions 102 to 806 of the family's 1533-position model. The record is from RNAcentral. Lineage: Bacteria; Bacillati; Bacillota; Bacilli; Caryophanales; Staphylococcaceae.
ACGGGUGAGUAACACGUGGAUAACCUACCUAUAAGACUGGGAUAACUUCGGGAAACCGGAGCUAAUACCGGAUAAUAUAUUGAACCGCAUGGUUCAAUAGUGAAAGACGGUUUUGCUGUCACUUAUAGAUGGAUCCGCGCCGCAUUAGCUAGUUGGUAAGGUAACGGCUUACCAAGGCAACGAUGCGUAGCCGACCUGAGAGGGUGAUCGGCCACACUGGAACUGAGACACGGUCCAGACUCCUACGGGAGGCAGCAGUAGGGAAUCUUCCGCAAUGGGCGAAAGCCUGACGGAGCAACGCCGCGUGAGUGAUGAAGGUCUUCGGAUCGUAAAACUCUGUUAUUAGGGAAGAACAAAUGUGUAAGUAACUAUGCACGUCUUGACGGUACCUAAUCAGAAAGCCACGGCUAACUACGUGCCAGCAGCCGCGGUAAUACGUAGGUGGCAAGCGUUAUCCGGAAUUAUUGGGCGUAAAGCGCGCGUAGGCGGUUUUUUAAGUCUGAUGUGAAAGCCCACGGCUCAACCGUGGAGGGUCAUUGGAAACUGGAAAACUUGAGUGCAGAAGAGGAAAGUGGAAUUCCAUGUGUAGCGGUGAAAUGCGCAGAGAUAUGGAGGAACACCAGUGGCGAAGGCGACUUUCUGGUCUGUAACUGACGCUGAUGUGCGAAAGCGUGGGGAUCAAACAGGAUUAGAUACCCUGGUAGUCCACGCCGUAAA